UGUAAAAAAAAAAAAAAAAAAAAAAAAAGAGCAAUGGGAAAAAAAAGUGUCCAUUGCUUCCGGGAUAGGCUCCGGACCCCCCGCGACCCAGUAGAAUAAGGGGUUUGGAAAAUGGAUGGAUGGAGCAUACUACCCAUAACAAGAACAGCACCACAGCAUUCAGGAAGAAAUCUUAGAACUCCCAGAGACUUGUGUAGGCACCAGAAUCACUUAUUCCACAUACUCAAAGUACCCUCUACAGCAGUGUGUGUUCCUUGGUGUGCAGUGUAACACGUCUCCUCAGCCACGGUUUGGGGAUCGAAUUUAGAGACCGAGUUUCUGCUCAAUAUGUAACCGGUACGAGUACCUACAACAUAGCUGAAAAGGGGACUUUUAUUUUGAUACCCCGAGUGGACUUUUAUACUGACAUUGGGGCACUGUAUCCCACCAUAUUUAUACCCGUAUAGUCUCGCGAUUUGAACAGAAUUACUGUUUUGUCUCGUUGAAGGUUUAUUGGGAGGAGGGAGUGUGGCAUUUAAACUUUGGCGGUGUAGUAUUCCUCUGGAUAAUGUGGAACGCUCAUCGUGAAGUUCUGGUGCAUUGAUGGUGAGGUAUGAAAACGUGGGGGAAGUCGUGCAUCCAUAAUAAGAUCGUCCACAAAUACAAGUGGAACCGGCUGGAGGUUCGGACUACUGCAUUGAGGGAUGUACUCCACCAGUGAACGUCAACCGGGGCAGAACCCAAUGGCAUCGAGUUUUUGUCGUGAUUGUUAAUAAAACCAAUAAAUAUUCUUAAGAUCUAGCCCUAAUCCUAUGGGGCGCAGUUUGUAAACGUAGUAAACAUUUUUGUACUUGCCACUUUUUCAUCAUUUAGUGCAAUUUUCUGACAUCUGCCGCUAGGCUACUACCACCCUACCAAGAUUAAUUAUCUUUUGUAAAUAUAUGUGAGGUUAUUUGAUAUUUGCAACGCAACUCUGCAAAAGUUGAGACAGAUAUAUUUAUCAUUGUUUUACAUUAACUUUCCUUUUAAUUAGACAUUUUAAUUGUGUUGGAGUUGAAAAAAAACAAAUUUUUGCAAAUGGAAAUUUUGUCCAUCCUUGCCUGAUGUCGCCGUUGUCUGAUUCUCCAUACAUUUUCAACAGGAAAUAGAUCUGGACCGGCAGCAGGCCAGUCAAGGACAUGCACUCUGUACCCAUCCAGAAUGUGGUCUGGCCUUAUCCUGAUGACAAAUAGUUUUUAUUGUUUUUAACUUUUCUGGAAAUGGACUUUAUUGAAAUUUAAAAACAAACUGUUGUAACACUUUACUUGAGGGGACACAAAUAAUGGAGUAGUACAUCCAUCCAUCCAUCCAUUUUCCAAACCGCUUAUCCUACUGGGCCACGGGGGGUCUAGAGCUUAUCCUGGUAGCAAUGUGCAUGAGGCAGGGAACAAUCCAGGAUGGGGGGCCAGCCCAUCGCAGGGCACACUCUCACACCAUUCACUCACACAUGCACACCUACGGGCAAUUUAGCAACUCCAAUUAGCCUCAGCAUGUUUUUGGACUGUGGGGGGAAACCGGAGUACCCGGAGGAAACCCCACGACGACAUGGGGAGAACAUGCAAACUCCACACGCAUGUGACCCAGGUGGAGACUCGAACCCGGGUCCCAGAGGUGUGAGGCAACAGUGUUAACCACUGCACCACCAUGCCACCCCCUGGAGUAGUACAGUUUUACUUAAUCAAUUAAUUAACCAGUAACUAUGUAUUAUAGUUCCAAUCUGUCCAUCUAUGUUCUGUACCCCCUUGUCCUAUGCAAGGUCAUACGGAUCUGGAGCCAAUCCCAGACAUUGUAGGCACUAGACAGGCAAUUGCCCAGGACGGGAUACCAAGCUGUCGCAGGCAUUUUUGUACCUUACACAGGAAUGUCACAUUUUUGCAAUGUCACGACCUACUUGUUUGACCCUCUCGUGUGCCACACCCCCUCAUCCUCGUAUGAAAUCCCAACGACCAGCUGUUUCGUAUUAUUUACAUUUAAGUUCUGUGUAUUUCGGUCCACGUUCGAGUGUGUUUCCCUUGUCCUGUCAUUAAUGUUACUAGCUGUUGAUGUGUGUCUUGUGCUCAUAUCCUAUUCUUAUUAAACACCGGGUUUUUCCCCG
This is a long non-coding RNA of Brienomyrus brachyistius, 2113 nucleotides long. RefSeq lists it as uncharacterized. The record is from RefSeq and is a predicted model, not a curated record. The transcript has 2 exons. Lineage: Eukaryota; Metazoa; Chordata; Actinopteri; Osteoglossiformes; Mormyridae.